GAUGAUUACAUAAAAAUGUGAUCCCGAGAAAAAAAGAUCUAUAUUUUAAUUCAAAUUUUAGAAAGUUAAUCUUGUUGUGGCAGGAACAAAGUAAAAAAAGAAUAUAGUGAUGAAAUGUCCCCAAUUUUUUUGAUAUCUGGAUAAAAUUGAAAUGUAUUUAGUACAUGAGUGAGGUUGGAAGUAAUAAGAUUUUCAACAUGAGAGAAUCCUAGUGGAGAUUGGCAGUGGGAGUUAACAUUAAUCAUAUGCUCUUUUUAAAAAUUUAUUUUUAGUUUAUCUCAUAUUUAGAUUUUUCUUAUUUUAUACUUAAAAAAUAAGUGUUAAUGUUUAAAUUAGUUGAUAUUUUAGGUAAGCAGAAGGAACUCGGCAAAAAGCAUCUUCAACUGUUUACCAAAAACAUAUCUUAAAGAUUUUAAAUUUUAAGUUUCCUCUGCCCACUGAGAAAUUUUAAGGGCCGCAGUACACUGACUGUGCUAAGGUAGCAUAAUAAAUUGGCUUUUAAUUGAAGUCUAGAAUGAAAGAGGGCUUGAGGAUACCCUGUCUCCUGCUUAAUUUAUCGAAUUUACUAAGAAGGUGAAAAUUCCUUCAUAUAAUUACAUAAGACGAUAAGACCCUAUGAAUUAUAAUUAAUAAAUGUUCAAAGACAUUUACUUUUUUGUUGGGGCAACAAGUUUGGUGAACCAAACAGUGUAUAAAUUUUACAUAAAUAUAGUAUUAAACACGAAUUUAAUUACCUUAGGGAUAACAGCAUAAUCAAAUAUUUGGUUUGUGACCUCGAUGUUGGACUAAGAACUUUCUAGGUUAGCCACUUAUUUAAGCGUGUUCUGUUCGAACAAUUUCUCUUA
This 845-nucleotide ribosomal RNA is filed under the name Pilorcula trifilaris. Its description in RNAcentral is "partial 16S ribosomal RNA". The stretch from base 340 to 587 matches the Rfam family "Archaeal large subunit ribosomal RNA", at positions 1788 to 2146 of the family's 2987-position model. Lineage: Eukaryota; Metazoa; Mollusca; Gastropoda; Stylommatophora; Orculidae. The record is from RNAcentral.